UACAGAGGUGGCAAGCGUUGUUCGGAAUUACUGGGCGUAAAGGGCGCGUAGGCGGUUCGUUAAGUCCUGUGUGAAAUCCCUCGGCUUAACCGGGGAACUGCGUCUGAUACUGGAUGGCUUGAGAUUGGGAGAGGGAUGCGGAAUUCCAGGUGUAGCGGUGAAAUGCGUAGAUAUCUGGAGGAACACCGGGGGCGAAGGCGGCAUCCUGGACCAACACUGACGCUGAGGGAGCGAAAGCCAGGGGAGCAAACGGG
Molecule: ribosomal RNA, 254 nt
Filed under: uncultured bacterium
Lineage: Bacteria
Description: partial 16S ribosomal RNA
Rfam family: Bacterial small subunit ribosomal RNA
Source: RNAcentral